Molecule: ribosomal RNA, 787 nt
Filed under: uncultured bacterium
Lineage: Bacteria
Description: bacterial SSU rRNA
Rfam family: Bacterial small subunit ribosomal RNA
Source: RNAcentral
AGAGUUUGAUCCUGGCUCAGGAUGAACGCUAGCGGCAGGCUUAACACAUGCAAGUCGAGGGGUAGAUUACUUCGGUAAUUGAGACCGGCGCACGGGUGCGUAACGCGUAUACAAUCUACCUUUUACAGAGGGAUAGCCCAGAGAAAUUUGGAUUAAUACCUCAUAGUAUUUUUGAAUGGCAUCAUUUGAUUAUUAAAGUUCCAACGGUAAAAGAUGAGUAUGCGUCCCAUUAGCUAGAUGGUAAGGUAACGGCUUACCAUGGCUACGAUGGGUAGGGGUCCUGAGAGGGAGAUCCCCCACACUGGUACUGAGACACGGACCAGACUCCUACGGGAGGCAGCAGUGAGGAAUAUUGGACAAUGGGCGCAAGCCUGAUCCAGCCAUGCCGCGUGCAGGAAGAAGGUCCUAUGGAUUGUAAACUGCUUUUAUACAGGAAGAAACACCUCUACGUGUAGAGACUUGACGGUACUGUAUGAAUAAGGACCGGCUAACUCCGUGCCAGCAGCCGCGGUAAUACGGAGGGUCCAAGCGUUAUCCGGAAUCAUUGGGUUUGAAGGGUCCGUAGGCGGUUUAAUAAGUCAGUGGUGAAAGCCCAUCGCUCAACGAUGGAACGGCCAUUGAUACUGUUAAACUUGAAUUAUUAGGAAGUAACUAGAAUAUGUAGUGUAGCGGUGAAAUGCUUAGAGAUUACAUGGAAUACCAAUUGCGAAGGCAGGUUACUACUAAUAUAUUGACGCUGAUGGACGAAAGCGUGGGGAGCGAACAGGAUUAGAUACCCUGGUAGUCC